Long non-coding RNA from Talpa occidentalis (Iberian mole), 213 nucleotides. RefSeq lists it as uncharacterized. The record is from RefSeq and is a predicted model, not a curated record. Lineage: Eukaryota; Metazoa; Chordata; Mammalia; Eulipotyphla; Talpidae. The transcript is spliced from 3 exons.
AUUAAGUGAGAUGACAUCAUAAAGGUGGCUGUCAUAUAUUGGAUACUCAACAAACAUUAACUUCCUAUCAGUUGCCUUCUCAGAUAUCUAUUUAUGUCCUUUCUAUGCUGUGGACUUCCUCAGGAUGAGUCAGAGAAGAAGAUGGCAGAAUUAGGACAGACAACUCUAGCCCAACAAGUAAGAACAAGCAAACUGAGAACUUACAAGUAAAAC